Phrynosoma platyrhinos (Desert horned lizard) is the source of this 71-nucleotide non-coding RNA. NCBI's taxonomy places the organism in Eukaryota, Metazoa, Chordata, Lepidosauria, Squamata, Phrynosomatidae. The record is from the annotation of a GenBank genome assembly.
GCCAGGCUGGUGUAGUGUUUUGAGUGUUGGACUAUGACUCUGGAGGCCAGGGUUCGAUUCCCCGCUUGGCC